Molecule: ribosomal RNA, 283 nt
Filed under: Salmonella enterica
Lineage: Bacteria; Pseudomonadati; Pseudomonadota; Gammaproteobacteria; Enterobacterales; Enterobacteriaceae
Description: partial 23S ribosomal RNA
Rfam family: Bacterial large subunit ribosomal RNA
Source: RNAcentral
AAUUGAGGGGGGCUGCUCCUAGUACGAGAGGACCGGAGUGGACGCAUCACUGGUGUUCGGGUUGUCAUGCCAAUGGCAUUGCCCGGUAGCUAAAUGCGGAAGAGAUAAGUGCUGAAAGCAUCUAAGCACGAAACUUGCCCCGAGAUGAGUUCUCCCUGACUCUUUAAGAGUCCUGAAGGAACGUUGAAGACGACGACGUUGAUAGGUCGGGUGUGUAAGUGUAGCGAUACAUUGAGCUAACCGAUACUAAUGAACCGUGAGGCUUAACCUUACAACGCCGAAG